RNAcentral lists this ribosomal RNA (484 nucleotides) under uncultured bacterium. RNAcentral describes it as "partial 16S ribosomal RNA". It matches the Rfam family "Bacterial small subunit ribosomal RNA", at positions 30 to 507 of the family's 1533-position model. The record is from RNAcentral.
AUUGAACGCUGGCGGCAGGCCUAACACAUGCAAGUCGAGCGGAUGAAGGGAGCUUGCUCCUGUAUUCAGCGGCGGACGGGUGAGUAAUGCCUAGGAAUCUGCCUGGUAGUGGGGGAUAACGUCCGGAAACGGGCGCUAAUACCGCAUACGUCCUGAGGGAGAAAGUGGGGGAUCUUCGGACCUCACGCUAUCAGAUGAGCCUAGGUCGGAUUAGCUAGUUGGUGGGGUAAAGGCCUACCAAGGCGACGAUCCGUAACUGGUCUGAGAGGAUGAUCAGUCACACUGGAACUGAGACACGGUCCAGACUCCUACGGGAGGCAGCAGUGGGGAAUAUUGGACAAUGGGCGACAGCCUGAUCCAGCCAUGCCGCGUGUGUGAAGAAGGUCUUCGGAUUGUAAAGCACUUUAAGUUGGGAGGAAGGGCAGUAAGUUAAUACCUUGCUGUUUUGACGUUACCAACAGAAUAAGCACCGGCUAACUUCGUG